RNAcentral lists this microRNA precursor (103 nucleotides) under Marmota monax (woodchuck). Lineage: Eukaryota; Metazoa; Chordata; Mammalia; Rodentia; Sciuridae. The record is from RNAcentral.
AGUGGAAUUGCUAGGUCAUAUGGCAAGUACAUGUUCAUCUUUGUAAGAAGCUACAGAACUAUUUCCUAAAAUGGCUAUAACAUGUUGCAUUUCCAUAAACAAU